CCUACGGGGGCUGCAGUGGGGAAUAUUGGACAAUGGGCGAAAGCCUGAUCCAGCCAUGCCGCGUGUGUGAAGAAGGCCUUCGGGUUGUAAAGCACUUUCAGUGGGGAAGAAAGCCUUGGGGCUAAUACCCUCGAGGAAGGACAUCACCCACAGAAGAAGCACCGGCUAACUCCGUGCCAGCAGCCGCGGUAAUACGGAGGGUGCGAGCGUUAAUCGGAAUUACUGGGCGUAAAGCGCGCGUAGGCGGUCUGAUAAGCCGGUUGUGAAAGCCCCGGGCUCAACCUGGGAACGGCAUCCGGAACUGUCAGGCUAGAGUGCAGGAGAGGAAGGUAGAAUUCCCGGUGUAGCGGUGAAAUGCGUAGAGAUCGGGAGGAAUACCAGUGGCGAAGGCGGCCUUCUGGACUGACACUGACGCUGAGGUGCGAAAGCAUGGGUAGCAAACAGGAUUAGAUACCCUUGUAGUC
RNAcentral lists this ribosomal RNA (464 nucleotides) under Vreelandella stevensii. Its description in RNAcentral is "partial 16S ribosomal RNA". It matches the Rfam family "Bacterial small subunit ribosomal RNA", at positions 338 to 795 of the family's 1533-position model. The record is from RNAcentral. Lineage: Bacteria; Pseudomonadati; Pseudomonadota; Gammaproteobacteria; Oceanospirillales; Halomonadaceae.